RNAcentral lists this ribosomal RNA (503 nucleotides) under uncultured bacterium. Its description in RNAcentral is "bacterial SSU rRNA". It matches the Rfam family "Bacterial small subunit ribosomal RNA", at positions 504 to 1009 of the family's 1533-position model. The record is from RNAcentral.
CGUGCCAGCAGCCGCGGUAAUACGGAAGGUCCGGGCGUUAUCCGGAUUUAUUGGGUUUAAAGGGAGCGUAGGCUGGAGAUUAAGUGUGUUGUGAAAUGUAGACGCUCAACGUCUGACUUGCAGCGCAUACUGGUUUCCUUGAGUACGCACAACGUUGGCGGAAUUCGUCGUGUAGCGGUGAAAUACUUAGAUAUGACGAAGAACCCCGAUUGCGAAGGCAGCCGGCGGGAGCGCAACUGACGCUGAAGCUCGAAGGUGCGGGUAUCGAACAGGAUUAGAUACCCUGGUAGUCCGCACGGUAAACGAUGGAUGCCCGCUGUCGGCGCCUUGCGCCGGCGGCCAAGCGAAAGCGUUAAGCAUCCCACCUGGGGAGUACGCCGGCAACGGUGAAACUCAAAGGAAUUGACGGGGGCCCGCACAAGCGGAGGAACAUGUGGUUUAAUUCGAUGAUACGCGAGGAACCUUACCCGGGCUUGAACUAACGGUGACGAAUCUAGAGAUAG